AGAAAACAAAGAAUUAAGAAUUAAGAAUUUAGUUUAUAAAUUUCUUAAGGAGGUAUAAGAUUCGUAAGGAUUUUGAGCGAUCCGAAUGACUCUUAUUAAUGAGUAGGUCAAAUAAGUAAGGAAUGAUGUUCUAUAACAUCAAAUUCCAAGUAAAAGUAGAAUCGUAAUCCAAAAUAUCGAUUAAAAACGAAGAACAUGCGAAGAACGCGAAGAACGCGAAGAUCGUUGUUGAUGGACAAAUUUAAAACCAUCGUAGGAUAAUUGUUGUUGAUGGACAAGUUUAAAACCAUCACGUAUAAGUUAGUUGCUUAUUGCUUGGUUAGGAACGUUAGAAAUGUUCAU
This 342-nucleotide long non-coding RNA is filed under the name Panax ginseng (ginseng). RNAcentral's name for it is "long non-coding RNA (PGIN_LNC007004)". Lineage: Eukaryota; Viridiplantae; Streptophyta; Magnoliopsida; Apiales; Araliaceae. The record is from RNAcentral.